GCCGGGCGUGGUGGCGCGCACCUGUAAUCCUAGUUACUCGGAAGGCUGAGCCUGGAGGUUCGCUUGAGUCCAGGAAUUCUGGGCUGCAGUGCGCUAGGUUGAUAGGGUGUCCGCACUAAGUUCGGCAUCAAUAUGGUGACCUCCCGGGAGUGGGGGAACACCAGGUUGCCUAAGGAGGGGUGAACCGGCCCAGGUCGGAAAAAUAACUUCAUCUACCUUUGGUUCUUCCUUCUCUAAAAUUGAAUACAUGGUAUGGAAUACAUGGGGCAGCCAGUCAUUGGAAUGCUUCAAAGCAUAGUCUUUGCUGUCCUUCUUCAGCUCUGUUCCCUUUU
Molecule: non-coding RNA, 332 nt
Organism: Dipodomys ordii (Ord's kangaroo rat)
Lineage: Eukaryota; Metazoa; Chordata; Mammalia; Rodentia; Heteromyidae
Source: Rfam